GAUGAAGAACGUAGCGAAAUGCGAUAAGUAAUGUGAAUUGCAGAAUUCAGUGAAUCAUCGAAUCUUUGAACGCACAUUGCGCCCGCCAGUAUUCUGGCGGGCAUGCCUGUUCGAGCGUCAUUACAACCCUCAGGCCCCCGGGCCUGGCGUUGGGGAUCGGCGGAAGCCCCCUGCGGGCACAACGCCGUCCCCCAAAUACAGUGGCGGUCCCGCCGCAGCUUCCAUUGCGUAGUAGCUAACACCUCGCAACUGGAGAGCGGCGCGGCCUCGCCGUAAAACACCCAACUUCUGAAUGUUGACCUCGAAUCAGGUAGGAAUACCCGCUGAACUUAAGCAUAUCAAUAAGCGGAGGA
This 353-nucleotide unclassified non-coding RNA is filed under the name soil metagenome. Its description in RNAcentral is "partial contains 5.8S ribosomal RNA, internal transcribed spacer 2, and large subunit ribosomal RNA". The stretch from base 1 to 120 matches the Rfam family "5.8S ribosomal RNA", at positions 35 to 154 of the family's 154-position model. The record is from RNAcentral.